This 501-nucleotide ribosomal RNA is filed under the name uncultured bacterium. Its description in RNAcentral is "partial 16S ribosomal RNA". It matches the Rfam family "Bacterial small subunit ribosomal RNA", at positions 29 to 523 of the family's 1533-position model. The record is from RNAcentral.
AUUGAACGCUGGCGGCAUGCCAUACACAUGCAAGUCGAACGGCAGCACGGGUGCUUGCACCUGGUGGCGAGUGGCGAACGGGUGAGUAAUACAUCGGAACGUACCUUAUCGUGGGGGAUAACGCAGCGAAAGCUGUGCUAAUACCGCAUACGCCCUGAGGGGGAAAGCGGGGGAUCGAAAGAUCUCGCGCGAUUAGAGCGGCCGAUGCCUGAUUAGCUUGUUGGUGGGGUAAAAGCCCACCAAGGCGACGAUCAGUAGCUGGGCUGAGAGGACGAUCAGCCACACUGGGACUGAGACACGGCCCAGACUCCUACGGGAGGCAGCAGUGGGGAAUUUUGGACAAUGGGGGCAACCCUGAUCCAGCAAUGCCGCGUGAGUGAAGAAGGCCUUCGGGUUGUAAAGCUCUUUUGUCAGGGAAGAAACACCGGCUCUAACACAGUCCGGGAAUGACGGUACCUGAAGAAUAAGCACCGGCUAACUACGUGCCAGCAGCCGCCGUAA